Molecule: long non-coding RNA, 271 nt
Organism: Hemicordylus capensis (graceful crag lizard)
Lineage: Eukaryota; Metazoa; Chordata; Lepidosauria; Squamata; Cordylidae
Exons: 3
Source: RefSeq, a predicted model, not a curated record
GGAAGAAACCUGACCACGAGUGAGUCCCAUAGGCUUGUUAUCAUUGCCUAAUCUGUGCGAGGGAAAGGAAGGGGCUUCUUCUCCGUGAGGCGUCCCCUUUCGGUUCCCACUUUCCUCCGCUGUUGUUGCGUGAACGUCACAAUCUCGUUCUGCAUUCAUUGCAAGAAAGCAUGAUCCAAACAAUCCUAACUGGUUGAGAGUUGGACUGGCUUUUGGUGCCUCUGCAGCAAUAUGGGCAAUGAUCUACAAGGAGCAUAAUGAUGACAUAGCA